UUAUAAAGGUAGCAUCUAUUACUUUCCGAUCUAUGAUGAACGCAAUGAGCUUGGGCAUUAAGGAAAAUGGGUCCGGUGCUGAAACAGAACAGAACAAAUAGACAGAGAGAAAAACUAAGCUAGUCCACAAACGACAACAAAUAAAACAGAGCCAAUGCAAAAGUCAACUCUAAAUUACUCCUAUUUUCACACCUUCUAAUCCUUUUCAUAGUGUCA
RNAcentral lists this unclassified non-coding RNA (216 nucleotides) under Hevea brasiliensis (rubber tree). Lineage: Eukaryota; Viridiplantae; Streptophyta; Magnoliopsida; Malpighiales; Euphorbiaceae. The record is from RNAcentral.